GGGCCUUGGUUAAAACAGAUGAGCAAGAAGUAAUCAACUUUUUAUUGACAACAGAAAUCAUCCCUUUGUGUUUGCGCAUCAUGGAAUCUGGAAGUGAACUGUCUAAAACGGUUGCCACAUUCAUCCUCCAGAAGAUCCUCUUAGAUGACACUGGUCUGGCUUAUAUAUGUCAGACAUAUGAGCGUUUUUCCCAUGUUGCCAUGAUCUUGGGUAAAAUGGUCCUGCAGCUAUCCAAAGAACCAUCUGCCCGUCUGCUGAAGCAUGUAGUAAGAUGUUACCUUCGACUCUCAGAUAAUCCCAGGUAAAGAUUUAACAGGAUUCACAAGAUUUGGGAGAAAUAGUCUCAUGAAUGGAUUCUAAUGUUACGGCUCAGACCCUCUGUCUUGAGUAUUAGAACCCAUAUAACUUUAGUUUACCUAAGAAAAACUUAAGUUCCUGUUAAAAUCUAAAAUUCUGACUUUAAAGUGCACUAGUGGGCUGGAGAGAUGGUUCAGUGGUUAAGAGCCCUGACUGCUCUUCCAGAGGUCCUGAGUUCAAAUCCCAGCAACCACAUGGUGGCUCACAACCAUCUGUAAUAAGAUCCGAUGCCAUCUUCUGGUUUCUGAAGACAGUGACAGUGUACUCACAUCCAUAAAAUAAAUUAAACUUUGUUUAAAGUGCACUAGUUAGAUCUUCCUGUUGUAACUCUGUUCUACCCUGAAAUUCCCAAAAGCCCAAGCAAUUUCAAGGGAGGCUAGUGCGGUUUGGGCUUUCUAUGGCUACUCCAAGUACUCAGAGUACACUUUAAGGUCUCUGCAAAGUCCUGUAGCCUAGAGGCUUUUUUAGCUUGCAGUUCUCUGCUUCCUGUAAACUAUGGAGCUCAUUACUUUUUCUUGGUAGGUUCAAGAACUCUGCCACAGUCGUGUAC
RNAcentral lists this long non-coding RNA (907 nucleotides) under Rattus norvegicus (Norway rat). RNAcentral describes it as "long non-coding RNA NONRATT029509". Lineage: Eukaryota; Metazoa; Chordata; Mammalia; Rodentia; Muridae. The record is from RNAcentral.